RNAcentral lists this ribosomal RNA (253 nucleotides) under uncultured prokaryote. RNAcentral's name for it is "partial 16S ribosomal RNA". It matches the Rfam family "Bacterial small subunit ribosomal RNA", at positions 525 to 777 of the family's 1533-position model. The record is from RNAcentral.
ACGAAGGGUGCAAGCGUUAAUCGGAAUUACUGGGCGUAAAGGGUGCGUAGGCGGUUCGUUAAGUCUGUCGUGAAAUCCCCGGGCUCAACCUGGGAAUGGCGAUGGAUACUGGCGAGCUAGAGUGUGUCAGAGGAUGGUGGAAUUCCCGGUGUAGCGGUGAAAUGCGUAGAGAUCGGGAGGAAGGCCGGUGGCGAAGGCGGCGCUCUGGAACAUUUCUGACGCUGAGGCUCGAAAGCGUGGGGAGCAAACAGGA